This 460-nucleotide ribosomal RNA is filed under the name uncultured bacterium. RNAcentral's name for it is "partial 16S ribosomal RNA". It matches the Rfam family "Bacterial small subunit ribosomal RNA", at positions 338 to 795 of the family's 1533-position model. The record is from RNAcentral.
CCUACGGGGGACAGCAGUGAGGAAUAUUGGUCAAUGGACGCAAGUCUGAACCAGCCAUGCCGCGUGCAGGAUGACGGCUCUAUGAGUUGUAAACUGCUUUUGUACGGGGGUAAAUUACGAUACGUGUAGAGGGUUGAAAGUAUCGCACGAAUAAGGAUCGGCUAAUUCCGUGCCAGCAGCCGCGGUAAUACGGAGGGUUCAAGCGUUAUCCGGAUUUAUUGGGUUUAAAGGGUGCGUAGGCGGUUCGGUAAGUUAGAUGUGAAAUCCCGUGGCUCAACUCCGGCACUGCCUCUGGAACUGUCGGGCUAGAGUUUGGUUGCGGUAGGCGGAAUGUGUGGUGUAGCGGUGAAAUGCGUAGAGAUCAUGCAGAACACCGAUUGCGAAGGCAGCUUACCAAACUACGACUGACGUUGAGGCACGAAGGCGUGGGGAGCAAACAGGAUUAGAUACCCUAGUAGUC